RNAcentral lists this ribosomal RNA (492 nucleotides) under uncultured bacterium. RNAcentral describes it as "partial 16S ribosomal RNA". It matches the Rfam family "Bacterial small subunit ribosomal RNA", at positions 29 to 507 of the family's 1533-position model. The record is from RNAcentral.
AGUGAACGCUGGCGGUAGGCCUAACACAUGCAAGUCGAACGGCAGCACAGUAAGAGCUUGCUCUUACGGGUGGCGAGUGGCGGACGAGUGAGGAAUACAUCGGAAUCUACUUUUUCGUGGGGGAUAACGUAGGGAAACUUACGCUAAUACCGCAUACGACCUACGGGUGAAAGCAGGGGAUCUUCGGACCUUGCGCGAUUGAAUGAGCCGAUGUCGGAUUAGCUAGUUGGCGGGGUAAAGGCCCACCAAGGCGACGAUCCGUAGCUGGUCUGAGAGGAUGAUCAGCCACACUGGAACUGAGACACGGUACAGACUCCUACGGGGGGCAGCAGUGGGGAAUAUUGGACAAUGGGCGCAAGCCUGAUCCAGCCAUACCGCGUGGGUGAAGAAGGCCUUCGGGUUGUAAAGCCCUUUUGUUGGGAAAGAAAAGCAGCAGGUUAAUACCCCGCUGUUCUGACGGUACCAAAAGAAUAAGCACCGGCUAACUUAGUG